Molecule: ribosomal RNA, 468 nt
Filed under: uncultured bacterium
Lineage: Bacteria
Description: partial 16S ribosomal RNA
Rfam family: Bacterial small subunit ribosomal RNA
Source: RNAcentral
GACGAACGCUGGCGGCGUGCUUAACACAUGCAAGUCGAACGGAAAGGCCCUGCUUUUGUGGGGUGCUCGAGUGGCGAACGGGUGAGUAACACGUGAGUAACCUGCCCUUGACUUUGGGAUAACUUCAGGAAACUGGGGCUAAUACCGGAUAGGAGCUCCUGCUGCAUGGUGGGGGUUGGAAAGUUUCGGCGGUUGGGGAUGGACUCGCGGCUUAUCAGCUUGUUGGUGGGGUAGUGGCUUACCAAGGCUUUGACGGGUAGCCGGCCUGAGAGGGUGACAGGCCACAUUGGGACUGAGAUACGACCCAGACUCCUACGGUAGGCAGCAGUGGGGAAUAUUGCACAAUAGGCGGAAGCCUGAUGCGGCAACGCCGCGUGCGGGAUGACGGCCUUCGGGUUGUAAACCGCUUUCGCCUGUGACGAAGCGUGAGUGACGGUAAUGGGUAAAGAAGCACCGGCUAACUACGUG